UCAUGGAGGAGUCGCCCGAGCAGGCACAGC
Molecule: non-coding RNA, 30 nt
Filed under: Homo sapiens (human)
Lineage: Eukaryota; Metazoa; Chordata; Mammalia; Primates; Hominidae
Source: RNAcentral